Molecule: long non-coding RNA, 251 nt
Filed under: Lathyrus oleraceus (garden pea)
Lineage: Eukaryota; Viridiplantae; Streptophyta; Magnoliopsida; Fabales; Fabaceae
Description: Pisum sativum (pea) long non-coding RNA (PSAT_LNC016895)
Source: RNAcentral
GUUAGUGUGACAUAAGGAAAAUUUAGCGCUAUGUUAAGCAAUCGUAAUUGGACUUAUGUAGAAGUCACAACUAUCUGAGGCCGGUCAAUAAUAAUGUAGGCAACAACACAAGUUAGAGGUCUUGAUUAGUGAAUCAAACUCCAACAACUUGCCAUGCCAAAAAGAAAAUGAGAAAUGAUCUUGUAUUGAUUUAGGUUCUUUGCAUGAUUUAGGAAGCAACCUAUCCUUAAUACAAAGCCAUUCACUUGAUC